This 460-nucleotide ribosomal RNA is filed under the name uncultured bacterium. RNAcentral's name for it is "partial 16S ribosomal RNA". It matches the Rfam family "Bacterial small subunit ribosomal RNA", at positions 338 to 795 of the family's 1533-position model. The record is from RNAcentral.
CCUACGGGGGGCAGCAGUGAGGAAUAUUGGUCAAUGGGCGCGAGCCUGAACCAGCCAAGUAGCGUGAAGGAUGACUGCCCUACGGGUUGUAAACUUCUUUUAUAUAGGAAUAAAGUGAGGCACGUGUGCCAUUUUGUAUGUACUUUAUGACUAAGGAUCGGCUAACUCCGUGCCAGCAGCCGCGGUAAUACGGAGGAUCCGAGCGUUAUCCGGAUUUAUUGGGUUUAAAGGGAGCGUAGAUGGGUUGUUAAGUCAGUUGUGAAAGUUUGCGGCUCAACCGUAAAAUUGCAGUUGAUACUGGCAGCCUUGAGUACAGUAGAGGUAGGCGGAAUGCGUGGGGUAGCGGUGAAAUGCUUAGAUAUCACGAAGAACUCCGAUUGCGAAGGCAGCCUACUAAACUGCAACUGACGUUGAUGCUCGAAAGUGUGGGUAUCAAACAGGAUUAGAUACCCGGGUAGUC